AAGCGGAGGAAAAGAAACCAACCGGGAUUGCCUCAGUAACGGCGAGUGAAGCGGCAAAAGCUCAAAUUUGAAAUCGGUGCGCCGAGUUGUAAAUUGAAGGAGGGGUGCUGGGACGACGCCGGUUUAAGUGCCUUGGAACAGGCCGCCAUGGAGGGUGACAGCCCCGUGAAGCCGGGCCGUCGUGCCGUGCAGCGCUGCUCCGACGAGUCGAGUUGUUUGGGAAUGCAGCUCUAAGUGGGUGGUAAGCUCCAUCUAAAGCUAAAUAUUGGCGAGAGACCGAUAGCGAACAAGUACAGUGAUGGAAAGAUGAAAAGCACUUUGAAAAGAGAGUGAAACAGCACGUGAAAUUGUUGAAAGGGAAGGGCUUGGCCUCAGACGCGGGUGCGCUUCGGUGCGCCCGGGCCAGCAUGGGCUCGUGGGGGGCGACAAUGGCGCGAGAACGUGGCACCGCUUCUGCGGUGUGUUACAGCUCGCGCAGACAGUCCCACCGCGGGCCGAGGCAUGCGCAUUUGCAAGGAUGCUGGCGUAAUGAUGUCAAGCCGCCCGUCUUGA
RNAcentral lists this ribosomal RNA (552 nucleotides) under [Candida] sp. A313. RNAcentral's name for it is "eukaryotic LSU rRNA". It matches the Rfam family "Eukaryotic large subunit ribosomal RNA", at positions 48 to 657 of the family's 3401-position model. Lineage: Eukaryota; Fungi; Ascomycota; Saccharomycetes; Saccharomycetales. The record is from RNAcentral.